CAACCUAGACGCUUGAGCUUCUUAAAAUACAAGAGCAGAAGCACGGCCUGGAUGUUAGGAAGGACGCCGCCCUGAGCAAUGGUCACCCGGCCUAGCAGUUUGUUGAGCUCCUCGUCGUUGCGGAUGGCCAGCUGCAAGUGGCGCGGGAUGAUGCGAGUCUUCUUGUUGUCGCGAGCCGCGUUGCCGGCCAGCUCCAGGAUCUCGGCGGUCAGGUACUCUAACACCGCCGCCAGGUACACCGGCGCGCCUGCCCCAACCCGCUCUGCGUAGUUGCCUUUGCGGAGCAGGCGGUGCACUCGGCCCACCGGGAACUGGAGACCAGCGCGAGAAGAGCGGGAUUUCGCUUUGGCGCGAGCUUUGCCUCCCUGCUUACCACGUCCAGACAUUGCAAUCAGACAAAAUUACCAAAACCAGCGGCCUAGACUCA
RNAcentral lists this long non-coding RNA (427 nucleotides) under Pan troglodytes (chimpanzee). RNAcentral's name for it is "long non-coding RNA NONPTRT015041". The record is from RNAcentral. Lineage: Eukaryota; Metazoa; Chordata; Mammalia; Primates; Hominidae.